This 765-nucleotide long non-coding RNA is filed under the name Heterocephalus glaber (naked mole-rat). Its description in RNAcentral is "lncRNA (ENSHGLG00000045052.1)". The record is from RNAcentral. Lineage: Eukaryota; Metazoa; Chordata; Mammalia; Rodentia; Bathyergidae.
GGAAAGAUGGCCUAGGAUUGAAAAACACAAAUAUUUUCUAAGGUAGUGGGGUCCCAGCCCUGCCCGAAGAUGUUUGCAAAUGCACAGAAGGCAGGGGCAGCCCCCUGGGGAUUUUGAUUCAUCAGAUUAGCUUUGCUCCACGUGAGGCAGAAAACUGUGUUUCUAGUCAGCUGAUGGGAGUCAGGAGAAAGGGGAGAAGAAAGACUGGCUGCAGGAAGAAAGGGAGGAGAAGAGAAGUAAAUAAAAGAGGGAAGAGAGGGAUGGAGGCAGAAGAGGGACAGUGGCUUGGAGUGAGGAGAAGUGAAGUGGUUCACUAGAAGAGAACCAAAAAGACAGAGGAAAGAGGGAAGUGAAAAUGGCCUCGCCCUCAGCUUCUGCUUCUGGGGCCCUCUGCCUCCAGCCUCCCCGCUCACCCAGCUCUACUCUGGGCCAAGAGCAGCUGGGGUCCCUCCUUCCAUGGUGCCAGGUGAGGACAGUGCUCUGCAGGCACCUGGGGGCAGUUUGGAGCCUAAUCCUGGCUGGGAUCCUGGGACUGUGGCACGGGGACCCUCCUGCUCCUUGAACACCAUUCGGGCCUAGCCUCCACUCCAGACACUUUCCGUGCAACUUGACCAGAACAAAUCCACACCUGUCACCCACCACCAGGAGCUUCCACCCUUCGAUUCCCUCCUGGGAACUUCACAUAGGCCUGAUAUGCUUUCUCUGCACCAAAGCCUCCCUCUUAGGUGGCUCAGUUAGCACCAGGACUCAGCUGUGCCGCUCAUC